AUGGAGACUAAAUGUCAAUGGGGUUGGCCGGUUAAAGCUUUUCUCAGAUGUCGCCAGCGUAGCUUGUUCCCUUGUCACAGAGAGCCGCCAUUUUGUAUGUUUUGCGUUCGUGAUAUUUCGGCAUUUUGUGACUUUGAUACGGUUCUUAUUACUUUCUAAGUAGUGCUAAACAGUUUUACAACAUGUAUUCCAACUGGGUAGUUAAAGAAUUAAAGGAGGAGUUGAGAAAACGUGCUGCAUCUUUACGAGGAAAAAAAGUGGAUUUUGUCGAAAGAUUAGAGUUAUAUGACCAAAAUUUUACUUUUGAAACAAAAUGAAAAAAUUGCUCUAGCAAAAUAUGCUAAUAUAUAUGAUUUGCUAGUGGAGCCAUGUGCCAUUUUCAUUAGCCAAGAGCGCCCAUAUUUUGCUGCAUCUCCUGAUGGUGUGUUGGGCGAAGAAACUAUAAUUGAAGUGAAAUGUCCAUACGCUAGAAGAAAACAUAAAAUAAAUAUAACAACGGUGCCUUAUUUAGAACAACGUAACGGGAUAUUGUCUCUAAAAAAACCUGCCCAUAUUAUUAUCAAAUCCAAGGGCAGUUAUACUGCUCAGGCAAAACAUACUGCAACUUGGUCAUUUACACCUACAAGGACAUCAAAGUGAUUUAUGUUGAAAAAGAAUAAUUUUAUAAAUAAUAUGUUAAAUAAAUGAGAUACCUUUUAUGAAAAUAUUUUCAAAGACGCAUUGUAUGAAAAAUAUCUGUAUUAUAACUAUACACACUUGUCGAAAUAAAAAAUCAGGAAUA
Long non-coding RNA from Bombyx mori (domestic silkworm), 781 nucleotides. RefSeq lists it as uncharacterized. NCBI's taxonomy places the organism in Eukaryota, Metazoa, Arthropoda, Insecta, Lepidoptera, Bombycidae. The record is from RefSeq and is a predicted model, not a curated record. The transcript has 2 exons.